RNAcentral lists this ribosomal RNA (497 nucleotides) under uncultured bacterium. RNAcentral's name for it is "partial 16S ribosomal RNA". It matches the Rfam family "Bacterial small subunit ribosomal RNA", at positions 28 to 507 of the family's 1533-position model. The record is from RNAcentral.
GAUGAACGCUGGCGGCGUGCCUAAUACAUGCAAGUCGAGCGAACAGACGCGGAGCUUGCUCCUUUGACGUUAGCGGCGGACGGGUGAGUAACACGUGUAUAAUCCACCUAUCAGACUGGGAUAAUUUCGGGACACCGGCGCUAAUACCGGAUAAUAUAUUGAACCGCAUGGUUCAAUAGUGAAAGACGGCUUUGCUGUCACUUAUAGCUGGAUCCGGGCCGCAUUAGCUAGUUGGUACGGUAACGGCUUAUCAAGGCAACGAUGCGUAGCCGACCUGAGAGGGUGAUCGGCCACACUGGAGCUGGGACGCCGACCAGGCGCCUGCGGUAGGGAGCAGUAUGGAAUCUUCCGCAGUGGGCGGAAACCUUGCGGAGCAGCGGCACGUGAGAGGUAAAAGUGUUCCGUGCGUAAUGCUCUGUUAUUAGGGAUAAACAGAUGUGGAAGUAACUAUGCACUGCUUGACGGUAACUGAUCAGAAAGCCACGGCUAACUACGUG